This 986-nucleotide small RNA is filed under the name Pongo abelii (Sumatran orangutan). RNAcentral's name for it is "retained intron". The record is from RNAcentral. Lineage: Eukaryota; Metazoa; Chordata; Mammalia; Primates; Hominidae.
UUAGGGAGCCCUCCAUGUCAUGUGGGGGAGAAUGCCACACCCCACCCACUGGUGAUGCCAGAGAUUCCCAUCAUGGGACCACCUCACGUUUUCAGAUGCUGUGCACCUGGCCUUUGCACAGCCUGUCCAUCAACCAACGCCUGCCCCUCUGAGCAAGUAGAUCAAGAGAACUAGAUGGAGACUUGAAAGGUCAAGUGACAUUAUUCCAGUUUGAUAGAGACUCAGUGUGGUGGCCUGCUUGAAGUCAAGGAAGCCACACCGUUUUCUACUUUAUGAGCCCACCCAUCUUUGCCUCUACCCCCAAACAUGGUGUGGGGCCAAAGGUUGGGGGAGGCCCUGACCCAGCUCGUCCCCAUUUGUGACCCAGAUCUGCACCAAAAACAGCGCCGGAAACCACACCAACCAUCCCCACAUGGACUGUGUCAUCACAGGACGGCCCUGCUGCAUUGGCACCAAGGGCAGGUGUGAGAUCACCUCCCGGGAGUACUGUGACUUCAUGAGGGGUUACUUCCACGAGGAGGCCACACUCUGCUCUCAGGUAGGUCUCCAGAGUAUCCGUCGUUCCCCUCCCCCAGCUGCUGUGAUGCUGAUAUGCUGCUCUGCGCAGGUGCACUGCAUGGAUGAUGUGUGUGGACUCCUGCCUUUCCUCAACCCCGAGGUGCCUGACCAGUUCUACCGCCUGUGGCUAUCCCUCUUCCUGCACGCCGGGCAAGUGACACUGUGGGCCGGGUGGGGGGGGGUCUCAGGGUCCUCAGGAUUGGCUGGCUGGGGGUGGCAGAGAGGUCACUUCUCUGCUGAAUGUCUCCCGACCCCUGCCUGCUACUGACUACAGGAUCCUGCACUGCCUGGUGUCCAUCUGCUUCCAGAUGACUGUCCUGCGGGACCUGGAGAAGCUGGCAGGCUGGCACCGCAUAGCCAUCAUCUACUUGCUGAGUGGUGUCACCGGCAACCUGGCCAGUGCCAUCUUCCUGCCAUACCGAGCAGAG